This 252-nucleotide ribosomal RNA is filed under the name uncultured bacterium. Its description in RNAcentral is "partial 16S ribosomal RNA". It matches the Rfam family "Bacterial small subunit ribosomal RNA", at positions 524 to 776 of the family's 1533-position model. The record is from RNAcentral.
UACGAAGGGGGCUAGCGUUGCUCGGAAUUACUGGGCGUAAAGGGAGCGUAGGCGGGUUAUCAAGUUGGAGGUGAAAGCCCAGGCUCAACCUUGGAAUUGCCUUCAAAACUGAUAGCCUAGAGUAUGAUAGAGGUAAGUGGAACUCCGAGUGUAGAGGUGAAAUUCGUAGAUAUUCGGAAGAACACCAGUGGCGAAGGCGACUUACUGGAUCAUGACUGACGCUGAGGCUCGAAAGCGUGGGGAGCAAACAGG